Molecule: ribosomal RNA, 429 nt
Filed under: Gemmatimonadota bacterium
Lineage: Bacteria; Pseudomonadati; Gemmatimonadota
Description: Gemmatimonadetes bacterium partial 16S ribosomal RNA
Rfam family: Bacterial small subunit ribosomal RNA
Source: RNAcentral
UAGGGAAUCUUCGGCAAUGGACGAAAGUCUGACCGAGCAACGCCGCGUGAGUGAAGAAGGUUUUCGGAUCGUAAAACUCUGUUGUUAGAGAAGAACAAGGACGUUAGUAACUGAACGUCCCCUGACGGUAUCUAACCAGAAAGCCACGGCUAACUACGUGCCAGCAGCCGCGGUAAUACGUAGGUGGCAAGCGUUGUCCGGAUUUAUUGGGCGUAAAGCGAGCGCAGGCGGUUUCUUAAGUCUGAUGUGAAAGCCCCCGGCUCAACCGGGGAGGGUCAUUGGAAACUGGGGGACUUGAGUGCAGAAGAGGAGAGUGGAAUUCCAUGUGUAGCGGUGAAAUGCGUAGAUAUAUGGAGGAACACCAGUGGCGAAGGCGGCUCUCUGGUCUGUUACUGACGCUGAGGCUCGAAAGCGUGGGGAGCAAACAGG